RNAcentral lists this ribosomal RNA (460 nucleotides) under uncultured bacterium. RNAcentral describes it as "partial 16S ribosomal RNA". It matches the Rfam family "Bacterial small subunit ribosomal RNA", at positions 338 to 795 of the family's 1533-position model. The record is from RNAcentral.
CCUACGGGAGGCAGCAGUGAGGAAUAUUGGUCAAUGGACGAGAGUCUGAACCAGCCAAGUAGCGUGAAGGAUGACUGCCCUAUGGGUUGUAAACUUCUUUUAUAAAGGAAUAAAACGAGUCACUUGUGCCUUUUUGCAUGUACUUUAUGAAUAAGGAUCGGCUAACUCCGUGCCAGCAGCCGCGGUAAUACGGAGGGUCCGAGCGUUAACCGGAUUUAUUGGGGUUAAAGGGAGCGUAGAUGGGUUGUUAAGUCAGUUGUGAAAGCUUGCGGCUCAACCGUAAAAUUGCAAUUGAUACUGGCAGUCUUGAGUAUAGUUGAGGUAAGUGGAAUUCGUGGUGUAGCGGUGAAAUGCUUAGAUAUCACGAAGAACACCGAUUGCGAAGGCAGCUUACUAAACUGUGACUGACACUGAUGCUCGAAAGUGUGGGUAUCAAACAGGAUUAGAUACCCGUGUAGUC